CGGGUGAGUAACACGUGGACAAUCUGCCCCCCGGUCCGGGAUAGCCCAGGGAAACCUGGAUUAAUACCGGAUGAGACGGGACCCGCGGAGGCGGGAUCCGGGAAAGGCGCUACGGCGCCGCCGGGGGAUGAGUCUGCGUCCCAUUAGCUAGACGGCGGGGUAACGGCCCACCGUGGCGACGAUGGGUAGCCGGCCUGAGAGGGUGGACGGCCACAUUGGAACUGAGACACGGUCCAGACUCCUACGGGAGGCAGCAGCUAAGAAUCUUCCGCAAUGGGCGAAAGCCUGACGGAGCGACGCCGCGUGAACGAAGAAGGCCGUGAGGUUGUAAAGUUCUUUUCGGGAGGGGGAACAACCGUGGCAGGGAAUGGCCGCGGGAUGACGUGAAUCCCGGAAUAAGCCCCGGCUAACUACGUGCCAGCAGCCGCGGUAACACGUAGGGGGCGAGCGUUGUUCGGAAUCAUUGGGCGUAAAGGGCGUGCAGGCGGUCCUGCAAGUCCGGCGUGAAAGACCCCGGCCCAACCGGGGGGACGCGCUGGAAACUGCGGGGCUUGAGUACAGGAGGGGAUGCCGGAAUUCCAGGUGUAGGGGUGAAAUCUGUAGAUAUCUGGAAGAACACCAAUGGCGAAGGCAGGCAUCUGGCCAUGUACUGACGCUGAGACGCGAAGGUGCGGGGAACAAACAGGUUUAGAUUCCCUGGUAGUCCGCACAGUAAUCAAAUUGGCCAGUGCGUUUUU
Molecule: ribosomal RNA, 737 nt
Filed under: uncultured bacterium
Lineage: Bacteria
Description: bacterial SSU rRNA
Rfam family: Bacterial small subunit ribosomal RNA
Source: RNAcentral